AUUUCUCAGGUGAAAAAGAUGCCUUGAACAAAAAUGGAGAAGUACAGCAUUUAAAAAUCUACUCUCAGUUUUGUCAAUGUGAUGCCCCUCAAAAAGCCAAGUUCCAAACAUCAAAAUGGAAACAGUCAUGCUACGUAAAUAUAUGCAUAUAUCUAAAUGUAUCUAUAGAACGUAUAACAUGACUUCUAAAGAUCUAGUACUUUCAGAAAAUCCAAUUAAAAUUUAAAGACUGAGAAAAUGCCAGAAAACAUGUAUUUAAAAAAAGCUGUUUUGUUUUCAACCAGUCAGGAUAUUGUUUGUCCUGGGGGGGAUUUAUGACUUUUUCUACAUCCAUUCUAAACCUACUUAUGUAGAGAAUAUAUAGUCCUGUCAGCUGACAAAGGUCUCAGGCCAGUCAUUCUGUCUUAGUCAGUUUACAAGUGUAGCAAGACCUGCUUUUCUCAUACUGCAUGCUCAUCGCCCUGGAUUUACUGUUACUAAAGUUACAUUCUUUCUUUCACUAGCGAUCCCAUCAAUUAUGCUCUCCUUACAUUCUGAAUGUGACAUUUAACUGUACAGUAUUAUAUCACAAUUCCUGCCUUCACUGUUUUUCACAAGUGGGCAUCACGGAAUACAGGGUGUCGUACUAAUUCACAAUCCAAAUUAAGUAUGCAUCUUUGCCAAAGCUUUAAUUUAAUAACCCAGUCUCUUUAAUUAAAGCGGAUCUCUUUUUUAUUAUUAUUUUCACGUGACCAACCCGCCAUAAACUGAACAGUGUCUAACAACUGGAGGAAGUCUAAGGAAUCGAUCCAAGCCCACGCUGUAAAUGGGCCAGGGGACACUGUAUUUCUCCUAAUCAGCUUUCCAGCUGCUGAUCAGAACCUGUUAUUAAUGUGCCCCUGGCUUAAUCUGGAAGCAGUCAGACAGGUGGAGCCCUUAUUCUCCUGCCCGACUGAAGAAUCGGUACUGUACCUCCUGACUGCACUGGCUUUGUCAUCUCCGAAGUGCAGGAAACAGACUUCGGCGCGUAAAAAUAAAUACAAAGCUGUGUUGUAAAAACCGAGUGAUUUGAAAAUAAACAUAAAUCUUACUCAGCAUAUUUUAAAAGCAUCUUAGCUUUUAAAUGCUUUAUGCAAGUGUAUUCCACCUCCAGUCUCAGGGGAUCGCUAGCUGGUCUGAUUUUUGUAUCAAUCAGCAUCUAAUCAUUACUUUUAAAGCCUACAGUGCUUUGUAGUGAAUAUACACACACGUCUGCAUUUAUUUUAAUGUAUUGUGUGAGUGUGUAAAAUGCAAUGCACCAGUAUAGAUUUUAAAAUAACUGAUUAGGUGCUGACUGGAUCAAAAAACAUGGUCUAUUAUUGGUCCCUGUGGUCUAAGCACAUGAGUGCAACUUCUUUAUUUGUUUUUGUGAAUCUAUGUUCAGAUUUUUGGAAUGAUGUUUCGAACCUUUUGCACUAGACUUAACAUUUAAUUCCUAAACUUUUGUUUUCAUAAUGUAAGAUUGUUUGAGAGCUUUCUAGAAAUGUCACAAUUAAAAGUAUCACAUUCUAUUUAAUUUGAUAUAUUCAAAAAACAAGCAUACAUUAUAUUUGACAUAAAGUGGUGGGUUGUGGCCAACACACAGAUAUCCUCU
Molecule: long non-coding RNA, 1612 nt
Filed under: Lepisosteus oculatus (spotted gar)
Lineage: Eukaryota; Metazoa; Chordata; Actinopteri; Semionotiformes; Lepisosteidae
Description: lncRNA (ENSLOCG00000021861.1)
Source: RNAcentral